Molecule: ribosomal RNA, 236 nt
Filed under: uncultured bacterium
Lineage: Bacteria
Description: partial 16S ribosomal RNA
Rfam family: Bacterial small subunit ribosomal RNA
Source: RNAcentral
UGAGGAACAUGACCUUCGGCGGGGGAUAGCCGGCCCAACGGCCGGGUAAUACCGCGUACGACCACUUCGGGACAUCCCUCGGUGGUGAAAGCAGCAAUGCGCCGAUGGAGUGCCUCGCGGCCUAUCAGCUAGUUGGUGAGGUAACGGCUCACCAAGGCGACGACGGGUANCUGGUCUGAGAGGAUGGCCAGCCACAUUGGGACUGAGACACGGCCCAGACCUCCGUACGGGAGCAG